UCAAAAUUAAAUUAAGAAAAAUUGCGUCAUGUAGAAUCGCUCAGUCAGCAGACUCGACGAAGUGGAGCGUAUCGCGUGGCAAGACACGCUAACUCGGUGCCACGUGGGAGGCCAUGCUGGCAAUCCGUGUACCCGCGAUCGGACGAUCUGGAAGCAUUCCCACGAGUGUGGACAUUCCGGAUCCGUUCCCUCCUCAGACGCAAUCG
RNAcentral lists this long non-coding RNA (206 nucleotides) under Carica papaya (papaya). RNAcentral's name for it is "long non-coding RNA (CPAP_LNC013596)". The record is from RNAcentral. Lineage: Eukaryota; Viridiplantae; Streptophyta; Magnoliopsida; Brassicales; Caricaceae.